CUCGGCCGAACGCCCCGGACGGUGUUGGGCGUUCUGGUUGCCCGCGUUCGCUCCGCGUCAGGGCGGCACGGAUCGUGUCCGUGGUCCGGGGAUG
RNAcentral lists this transfer RNA (94 nucleotides) under Streptomyces turgidiscabies Car8. RNAcentral describes it as "tRNA-Gln". The record is from RNAcentral. Lineage: Bacteria; Bacillati; Actinomycetota; Actinomycetes; Kitasatosporales; Streptomycetaceae.